This 378-nucleotide ribosomal RNA is filed under the name uncultured bacterium. Its description in RNAcentral is "bacterial SSU rRNA". It matches the Rfam family "Bacterial small subunit ribosomal RNA", at positions 521 to 896 of the family's 1533-position model. The record is from RNAcentral.
UAAUACGUAGGGUGCAAGCGUUGUCCGGAUUUAUUGGGCGUAAAGAGCUCGUAGGCGGUUUGUCACGUCGGCUGUGAAAAUCCGGGGCUCAACCCCGGACCUGCAGUCGAUACGGGCAGACUAGAGUUCGGCAGGGGAGACUGGAAUUCCUGGUGUAGCGGUGAAAUGCGCAGAUAUCAGGAGGAACACCGGUGGCGAAGGCGGGUCUCUGGGCCGAAACUGACGCUGAGGAGCGAAAGCGUGGGGAGCAAACAGGAUUAGAUACCCUGGUAGUCCACGCCGUAAACGUUGGGCGCUAGGUGUGGGGAACCUUCCACGUUCUCCGUGCCGUAGCUAACGCAUUAAGCGCCCCGCCUGGGGAGUACGGCCGCAAGGCUA